UCAAACUUUAUCUCAAAAAGCGCGGGUGCACUACAUUAUGGAAUGGAGGAAUUACAACAUUAUGCAUUUGACAUGGCAAGAUAUUUUUAUCAACCAUAAUGUAUGCACUAUUGAUAGACAUGAGAUGGUUAUCAGUAACCUCAAAAGAUGCAUAAUUUCCUUAUCAAUGCUGCACCUUAAGGCCAAAACUCAGCAACCUGAACAGAUAAGACCAUGCUCAUCAUAUAACUCAAUUUACUGACAUAACAUAUGGUGUAAUAACAAAAGAUGAAGCUAAAACUUUUGAAAUCCCUACCAUCUUUUAAGAGCUAAACUUUUCUAUUAGUUGUGAACUUCCAUUUGAUAUUUCUCAAAUUUGUGUUUUUUUAAGAUUAACACAUGCAAAGCAAAGUUUAGUAUUCAGAACUGGAACUCUGCAAUUUUAGAGAAAAGUUUAAUAACUAAAGCUUGAGAAACAAAUGCGGUUAUAAAUACAUGACACACAAAGUUCAGUACAAUUCUGAACUAUGGGGGUUGUAAGUUUUAUUUCCAAAGCAUGACACACGACUUCUAAGCUUCCUAUCAUUGUCAUUUUUUUGAAAAUACAGAAAAUAACAUACCUGGAUUUUUUUCUAUGAAAUAGGGACGGUAAGACUUCCCCCAAAAUUAUCUGUGCACAACAUCUGAUGGAAGGCCCGGCAGUCAGCAAACAACACUUAGGGAGGAAGCGCAUAGAUCGUCAGUGUCACACCAUAUAUAGCUCAGUUAGUUGGCAUGUACUGUCAUACUUGACAUGUUAAUAUUUAGUAGAUCCAUCCAUUAUAUUGGUAUAUCCUCCAACUGCAGUAUGUGCAAUAAGGAAUGAUCAAAAGAGUGAAUGAAUCACGUACAUACUAUACGUCCAACUGGAAUUGGAACCUAGUGUGCUGUCUUGGCAACAUCGCAUUGUUCCAACUUCCAAGGGAACCCAUCAGCCUCCCAUACGUUGUCACAAAGGAACCCCGUCUCCAUUUGCUCCAUGCCUUCUUUGCUAGCGCCAUCAUCAAAGCCUCAUCGACCCUCGGCAAGUGCACAUGCUACAACCAUGUCCGACACCGCCAGCACUGCUGCACUCGCAUAGAACCUGACCUCAGGCGUUGCUGUAGAGGAAUCAACCGUUCAUUCUUCUAGCAGUUGUCCCAAGCUGUAGCUAGCAUUGUAUAGAGAUUAGAAGGUUAGAAGAAAUAACGUGAAUGUAAUCUUAACCAAGUAAACAGUCACAUUAAUACUUAUCUAACACCGCCAAGGAUAACUUCACUAAAAAGCAAUCUUUGCAGUGCAACUUGUAAACGCAACUAUCAUCUGUUUUGUUAUAUGGGUUAUAUCACUCAUGUUCAUUUUUGGCAAGAUUCAAAUAUCAGAAAAUAGCUUCAUUCAAAAUUACAGUUCUGAAGAAUUUCCAUGUUAUACAGAGAAUUACUAAUCUCAUAGAUACUCUGUUGCAUUAGCAAAACACAAGUGCACAUUUACUGCCUUCUAGGAUCACAACCGGAGAUAGACACAUUAAAUAAAAUACUUAAAAGCGGAUAAUCUCUACAAAAUGCGCACUUCGGCAAGAUGUUACAAAAUGCCCGUGCGUUAUAACAAAAGCGAAUGAAGCGGAUAAUUCUACUGAUGAAUUAUAAAAUUCCUGCAAUUUGAUGCUCACUUCGGCAACAAAUACUUAAAAGCGGAUAAUUAACUAAAAGGUGAAGCAGAAGCAUGAACUGCUAACCGUUACUUGAUGACCUAUCUACACAAUUGAGAGAGUCUGUAUGUAGUAUUAUGCCUAUCAAUAUCACAAAGAUGGAUGUGUACUUUCCUUGCUCCUAGACCAUGAACUAAAUUGAUAUAAUUUUCUUGUCUUCCUCCCUUCGUCUUGCAUGGAACCAAGCAUUACUCAUACUCCAUUUUUACACAACUGAAAUAAAUAAUCAGAUAAAAGUCUGAACAACUUCCCACAAAAUAAAAGGGC
RNAcentral lists this long non-coding RNA (1972 nucleotides) under Triticum aestivum (bread wheat). Its description in RNAcentral is "long non-coding RNA (TAES_LNC012314)". The record is from RNAcentral. Lineage: Eukaryota; Viridiplantae; Streptophyta; Magnoliopsida; Poales; Poaceae.